AUUUCUUGCAACUUCAACAACACAGUUACCCAAAGUUUUGCUCAAACAGCAUCAAAUUAGGCAAGAAAUCAUAUAACCCAUGCUGUUUGCAGCAUUUCUUUGCAGAAACGGAGAAUUGAUCAUCUCACCAUACAAAAAUCCAGCUCACUACUUUCAAUCUAGUACUUCACUGAUUGCUUCCUAUAGGACAGAUCGGUGAAGUACUAGAUUUGUAGUAAUGAGCUGAAUUUUAGUAUGGUGAGAAGGUCAAUUCUCCGUUUCUGCAAUGAAAUGGUGCAAAAAGCGUGGGUAUUAUGAUUCCUUGCCUAAUUUGAUACUGUUUGAGCAAAACUUUGGGCAACAGUGUUGUUGUUUUCUCCAUUUCUGGCAACAUAAACAACAUAGUUAUCCAAAGUUUUGCUCAAACAGCAUAAAAUUUGGCAAGGAAUCAUAAUACCCACGCUUUUUGCACCAUUUCAUUGCAGAAACGUAGAAAUGACCUUCUCACCAUACUAAAAUUCAGCUCAUUACUACAAAUCUAGUACUACACCGAACGUGCCCCAUUCUCAGUUUCUGCAAUGAAAUGGCGCAAAAAGUGUGGGUAUUAUGAUUCCUUGCCUAAUUUUAUGCUGUUUGAGCAAAACUUUGGGUAACAGUGUUGUUGUUUUUUCUAUUUCUUGCAACACAAACAACACACUUAAUCUCCAAAUUUGAUCUCGGUAAAAACGAAUGACGAACUCAAUCGGUAAAGAGUAUUUUUACUGAAAUGUCGUUAAAAUUUGACAGUUCUCCAAAAAUAACUUGUCAAAAAUAACGAAAUUCAGUAAUUUACGUUCAUUACUGAAUCUCGGCAAACUUUUUUGCCACAGCAAUCGGCAAUCUAAUCAUGUUGCUGAAUUUCGGUAAAGCGCAUCUGUCAAAAAUGAAAACGAAGCACGUUGCCGGGUGCCAUCUUCAAAAAAGAAUUUUCUUUAAGCGAAUCACUACUUCGAUUCAGCAAUCUCUUCAGCGGGUUUUUCUAUGAUAUUUUGGAGAUGGAGCGCUGCAGCAGGAGUGCCGGAACCUCGCAUCGAAGGUGCCUGUUUGUUUGCUGCCGGUCUUAACGAGCAAAAGGCAAAAAUGGUCCGUGGAUACCAAAUAAACCGCUCGUAAAUCCACUAACGAAGAGGCUCCCGUAAGCAGCUGGCCACAAAGGCCGCCCACAAAGGUGCUCCCCCGACCGGCGGAGUGAAGAGGCUGCAUCGUUACCGGCCGAGAACGGUACAUAGUAACGAGAAACCCGUCGCUAACAAACGUCCACCGAGUUCCUGUUCCCUCCGCAAGUUGCCGUUCCAGCGCUGCUUGGAGCUUGAUAUGGCGCAGGUUUUGAAAGAUAGAUAUGCGUUUCCAAAGUGUCGUCGUUACUGCCAUGCAGGAAGCCCGCUCGGAUUGUUCGGGGACACCAUCAGUGUACGAUCUACGCCGAGCACGUCCCCGGCGGAAGUGUGAAAUUAUAAUGUUACCAUUGAUAUACAGUUAAAGAAACGAUAGAAACAAGCCAAAAUUUGUUGCUCAGGACCAGCAUGAAUAAAAUUGUUAACCUAAUCAUUAUUUUCGUUUUAUUUUAUUUCUUCUUAUUUUGUUUCUUCUUAUCAAUAAGCAUGAAAGAAAAAAAAAGAUUUACUGAAUUUCGGUAACCAUAUAUGCCGAAGUUUUCGGCAAUAUAUUACCGAACCACUCGUCAAAGUUUGACAUUUGAUCUUUAUCAAGUUUGCAGACUAGUCGGCAAUUUGAACUUUUACCGAGAUUUUUACCGAGCUCUCAGCUGUUGGAUUCUCGGCGAUUUAUUUUGCCGGCCUCGGCAAAUUAAAUUAAGUGUGAACAUAGUUAUCCAAAGUUCUGCUCAAACAGCAUCAAUUCAGGCAAGGAAUCAUAAUACCCACGCUUUUUGCACCGUUUUAUUGCAGAAACGGAGAAUUGACCUUCUCACCAUACAAAAAUUCAGCUCAUUACUACAAAUCUAGUACUACACCGAACGUGCCCCAUUGUAUCCCAAAAAACCUAACCCAACUUCAUCUUGCUGCAAAAGCUUGUAAACCGUCAAAUUCAAUAAUGUUUACAUUGAACAAGCUGAGUGGUUGCGCCAACAGGUUCUUCAUCUCAGUUUCUAGCUGAAAGAAUGUUCUUUAAACAUCUACGAAGCGCUGCUGUUUUGUGUAUUUGGCAACCUUACAAAAUGUACUGUAUAAAAGCAGCUGGUUUAUUGGUUGGGACUCUUAUUCAAUUUGCACAUCCUCCGGUAAAUCUUUCGGAGUAAGAUUAAAGUGCAAAAAAAUUAACCCAAAUAUUUUUACAGCACAGAGAUGGAUAGCUGUAAAGUAUUUGUGUAGUAGCUAUAUAUCCGGCUUAAAGUAUGCUUUGACAAUAAUGUUUACAUCCGACAAGCCGUGUUGGUAUACCAACAGUUUCUCUAGCUUCUAGCUGUAAUGAUAUCGCAAAACGGCCUUCAAAGCGCUACUGGUUUGUGGAUUUGCCAGUUUUACGAAUUGUACUGUAUAGUAGCAGCUGUUUUGAUACUGAGGACUCCUAUUCGAUUUGUUCAAGUUUUCACAUCUUCCGGAAAAUCUCCCGGAGUAAGAAUAGAAUGCAGUAAAGGCAAACCCAGUGACAAGUGAUUGAUUUCUGGAAACAGAGUUUGGUAGCUGUAUGGUGCUUGUUUUACAGCUGUGUAUAAGCUUAUGAGUUAUAUUUGACAACCUUCCAUUUUAUUCAGCGUUGACUGCUUCAACUCGAUUGUUACACAACAGAAAGCAAAUGACUGAAGCUUAUACCGCUGAAAAUGUUAGUUGGGUAAACAAUCAAAUGAAAAUAAAAAGAAAAUCGGGUUAAGUACGGUUCCUUUGAAUUCCACUAAGAAUUUGCAUCCUUUGACAGAUACGUAUUUCGACCUCAACUGUAAGGUCGUCUUCAGUGUCUUGUACUUGACUCGACUCGACUCCAGGUUAAUCAUCAUCAAUCAAAUGAUUUGAAAUCAGCAGCUUGAUAAGACGUUACGAGAAUUUGGAUUGGAAUAACGGACCCUUGUUUGUAUUAUCUGAUCAAUGGGAGGAGAAUGCUGUUCAUUACCAUUUAUGUGGACAAUGCGGCACGUUCGGUGUAGUACUAGAUUUGUAGUAAUGAGCUAAAUUUUAGAAUGGUGAGAAGGACAGUUAUCUGUUUCUGCAAUGAAAUGGUACAAAAAGCGUGGGUAUUAUGAUUCCUUGCCUAAUUUGAUGCUGUUUGAGCAAAGCUUUGGAUAACUAUGUUGUUUAUGUUGCAAGAAAUCGAGAAAACAACAACACUGUUGCCCAAAGUUUUGCUCAAAUUAGGCCAAGAAUCAUAAUACCCACGCUUUUUGCACUAUUUUAUUGCAGAAACGGAGAACUGACCUUCUCACCAUACAAAAAAUCAGCUCAUUACUACAAAUCUAGUGCUUCACCGAUCUGUCCUAUUAUGAUUCCUUGCCUAAUUUAAUACUGUUUGAGCAAAACUUUGGGUAACUGUGUUGUUUAAGUUGCAAGAAAUGUAGAAAACAACAACACGAUUACCCAAACUUUUGCUCAUACAGCAUUAAAUAGGGUCCUAAAAUGAAAAAUAUUUUCGCGCUUUUGGUGCAUAACACGAAAGAGCUUGGUUUUCUGAUCUCAAUGGUAUUUUUUUCGAACUUGAACAAUAACAGAAUAGUUAAUAAACUCGAAAAUAAAAUAAUGAUGAGCAAGUUUUGUUUGACAUUCGAGGUCAACCUUGACGUAACGAAAGUGAAACGGCGGGUUGCAAAAGACACCACAUUGGCUCACUUUUGACAACAAAUGUUUGACAUACACGGUAAACAAAAUUUACCCAAAAUGGGGCACGUUCGGUGUAGUACUAGAAUUGAAGUAAUGAGCUGAAUUUUUGUAUGGUGAGAAGGUCAAUUCUCUGUUUCUGCAAAGAAAUGGUUCAAAAAGCGUGGGUAUUGUGAUUCUCUGUCAAAUUUAAUGCUGUUUGAGCAAAAUUUUGGAUAACUAUGUUGUUUAUGUUGCAAGAAAUGGAGAAAACAACAACACGGUUACUCAAAGUUUUGCUCAAACAGCAUUAAAUUAGGCAAGGAAUCAUAAUACCCACGCUUUUUGAACCAUUUCAUUGCAGAAACGGAGAAUAGGACAGAUCGGUGAAGUACUAGAUUUGUAGUAAGGAGCUGAAUUUUAGUAUGGUGAGAAGGUCAAUUCUCCGUUUCUGCAAUGAAAUGGUCCGAAAAGCGUGGGUAUUAUGUUUCCUUGCCUAAUUUGAUGCUGUUUGAGCAAAACUUUGGGCAACAUUGUUGUUGUUUUCUCCAUUUCUUGCAACAUAAACAACAUAGUUAUCCGAAGUUUUGCUCAAACAGCAUCAAAUUAGGCAAGGAAUCAUAAUACCCACGCUUUUUGCACCAUUUCAUUGCAGAAACGGAGAAUAGGAAGCAAUCAGUGAAGUACUAGAUUGAAAGUAGUGAGCUGGAUUUUUGUAUGGUGAGAUGAUCAGUUCUCCAUUUCUGCAAUGAAAUGGUGCAAACAACGUGGGUUAUAUGGUUUCUUGCCUAAUUUGAUGCUGUUUGAGCAAAAGUUUGGGUAACUGUGUUGUUGAAGUUGCAAGAAAUAAAUAAUACAACAACACAGUUACCCAAACUUUUGCUCAAACAGCAUCAAAUUAGGCAAGAAACCAUGUAACCCACGUUGUUUGCACCAUUUCAUUGCAGAAUUGGAGAACUGAUCAUCUCACCAUACAAAAAUUCAGCUCACUACUUUCAAUCUAGUACUUCACUGAUUGCGUCCUAUUGACCUUCUCACCAUACUAAAAUUCAGCUCAUUACUACAAAUCUAGUACUACACCGAACGUGCCCUUUUGGCCUUCUCACCAUACUAAAAUUCAGCUCAUUACUACAAAUCUAGUACUUCACCAAUCUGUCCUAUUGAGUGCUAAACAAGGAGUGUUGCACAAAUUAUUAAAAUUUUUGAAAAUAUAUUUUAUGGGCUUUACCUAAUAGGAAUACUUAAAAAAAUGAGUAAACAUGUCGUUUUAUUCAAUGCUUGAUCGAAUUAUGCAGAAAUUGAGAUAGGCCUUUAGGAGCCUAUUAGGCAAGGAAUCAUAAUACCUACACAUUUUGAACCAUUUCAUUGCAGAAACAGAGAAUAGGACAGAUCGGUGAAGUACUAGAUGUGUAGUAAUGAGCUGAAUAGGAGGCAAUCAGUGAAGUACUAGAUUGAAAGUAGUGAGCUGGAUUUUUGUAUGGUGAGAUGAUCAAUAGGACAGAUCGGUGAAGUACUAGAUUUGUAGUAAUGAGCUGAAUUUUAGUAUGGUGAGAAGGUAAAUUCUCCGUUUCUGCAAUGAAAUGGUGAAAAAGUGUGGGUAUUAUGAUUUCUUGCCUAAUUUAAUGCUGUUUGAGCAAAACUUUGGGCAACAGUGUUGUUAGUUUCUCGAUUUCUUGCAACAUAAACAACAUAGUUAUCCAAAGUUUUGCUCAAACAGCAUCAAAUUAGGCAAGGAAUCAUAAUACCCACGCUUUUUGCACCAUUUCAUUGCAGAAACGGAGAAUUGACCUUCUCACCAUACUAAAAUUCAGCUCAUUACUACAAAUCUAGUACUACACCGAACGUACCCCAUUCUCCAUUUCUGCAAUGAAAUGGUGCAAACAGCGUAGGUUAUAUGAUUUAUUGGCUAAUUUGAUGCUAUUUGAGCAAAAGUUUGAAUAACUGUGUUGUUGUAUUAUUUUUUCCUGCAACUUCAACAACACAGUUAUCCAAACUUUUGCUCAAACAGCAUCAAAUUAGUCAAUGAAUCAUAAUACCCACGCUUUUUGCACCAUUUCAUUGAAGAAACGGAGAAUUGACCUUCCCACCAUACUAAAAUUCAGCUCAUUACUACAAAUCUAGUACUACACCGAACGUACCCCAUUCUCCAUUUCUGCAAUGAAAUGGUGCGAACAGCGUAGGUUAUAUGAUUUAUUGGCUAAUUUGAUGCUAUUUGAGCAAAAGUUUGAAUAACUGUGUUGUUGUAUUAUUUUUUCCUGCAACUUCAACAACACAGUUAUCCAAACUUUUGCUCAAACAGCAUCAAAUUAGUCAAUGAAUCAUAUAACCCACGCUGUUUGCACCAUGUCAUUGCAGAAAUGCAGAAUUGAUCAU
Molecule: long non-coding RNA, 6134 nt
Organism: Aedes albopictus (Asian tiger mosquito)
Lineage: Eukaryota; Metazoa; Arthropoda; Insecta; Diptera; Culicidae
Exons: 2
Source: RefSeq, a predicted model, not a curated record